Molecule: long non-coding RNA, 761 nt
Organism: Oncorhynchus keta (chum salmon)
Lineage: Eukaryota; Metazoa; Chordata; Actinopteri; Salmoniformes; Salmonidae
Exons: 3
Source: RefSeq, a predicted model, not a curated record
CCCUUAAUGAUGUCACCUGUUAAAUCGACUUCAAUCAGUGUAGAUGAAGGGGAGGAAGACGGGGUUAAAGAAGGAUGUUUAAGCCUUGAGACAGUUGAGACAUGGAUUGUGUCUGUGUGUCAUUCAGAGGGUGAAUGGGCAAAACAAAAUAUUAAGUGCCUUUGAACAGGGUAGUAGGUGGUAGUAGGUGGUAGUAGAUGGUAGUAGGUGGUAGUAGAUGGUAGUAGGUGGUAGUAGGUGGUAGUAGGUGGUAGUAGGUGGUAGUAGGUGGUAGUAGGUGGUAGUAGGUGGUAGUAGGUGGUAGUAGGUGGUAGUAGGUGGUAGUAGGUGGUAGUAGAUGGUAGUAGGUGGUAGUAGGUGGUAGUAGAUGGUAGUAGGUGGUAGUAGGUGGUAGUAGGUGGUAGUAGAUGGUAGUAGAUGGUAGUAGGUGGUAGUAGGUGGUAGUAGGUGGUAGUAGGUGGUAGUAGGUGAUAGUAGGUGGUAGUAGGUGGUAGUAGGUGGUAGUAGGUGGUAGUAGGUGGUAGUAGGUGGUAGUAGAUGGUAGUAGGUGGUAGUAGGUGGUAGUAGGUGGUAGUAGGUGGUAGUAGGUGGUAGUAGGUGAUAGUAGGUGGUAGUAGGUGGUAGUAGGUGGUAGUAGGUGAUAGUAGGUGGUAGUAGGUGGUAGUAGGUGGUAGUAGGUGGUAGUAGGUGGUAGUAGGUGGUAGUAGGUGAUAGUAGGUGGUAGUAGGUGGUAGUAGGUGGUAGUAGAUGGUAGUAGGUGG